This 484-nucleotide ribosomal RNA is filed under the name uncultured bacterium. RNAcentral's name for it is "partial 16S ribosomal RNA". It matches the Rfam family "Bacterial small subunit ribosomal RNA", at positions 29 to 507 of the family's 1533-position model. The record is from RNAcentral.
AGUGAACGCUGGCGGCAGGCCUAACACAUGCAAGUCGAGCGGCAGCGCGGGGGCAACCCUGGCGGCGAGCGGCGGACGGGUGAGGAAUUCGUCGGAAUCUGCCUUUUUGUGGGGGAUAACGUAGGGAAACUUACGCUAAUACCGCAUACGUCCUACGGGAGAAAGUGGGGGACCGCAAGGCCUCACGCAGAAAGAUGAGCCGACGACCGAUUAGCUAGUUGGUGGGGUAAAGGCCCACCAAGGCGACGAUCGGUAGCUGGUCUGAGAGGAUGAUCAGCCACACUAGGACUGAGACACGGCCCAGACUCCUACGGGAGGCAGCAGUGGGGAAUAUUGGACAAUGGGCGCAAGCCUGAUCCAGCCAUGCCGCGUGUGUGAAGAAGGCCUUCGGGUUGUAAAGCACUUUUGUCCGGAAAGAAAUCCCUGGAGCUAAUACCUUCGGGGGAUGACGGUACCGGAAGAAUAAGCACCGGCUAACUUCGUG